UUGCAGGCUGCAACUCGCCUGCAUGAAGUCGGAAUUGCUAGUAAUCGCAGAUCAGCAUGCUGCGGUGAAUACGUUCCCGGGCCUUGUACACACCGCCCGUCACACCAUGGGAGUCGGUAACACCCGAAGUCGGUAGCCUAACCGUAAGGAGGGCGCCGCCGAAGGUGGGAUUGAUGACUGGGGUGAAGUCGUAACAAGGUAUC
Molecule: ribosomal RNA, 203 nt
Filed under: uncultured bacterium
Lineage: Bacteria
Description: partial 16S ribosomal RNA
Rfam family: Bacterial small subunit ribosomal RNA
Source: RNAcentral